AUAAUGAUACAUCUCUACGGAGCUGGCGGAGUACCCGGCAGUGGUGAAAUUCCAAUG
Molecule: non-coding RNA, 57 nt
Filed under: bovine gut metagenome
Description: pemK RNA
Rfam family: pemK RNA
Source: RNAcentral